RNAcentral lists this ribosomal RNA (497 nucleotides) under uncultured bacterium. RNAcentral describes it as "partial 16S ribosomal RNA". It matches the Rfam family "Bacterial small subunit ribosomal RNA", at positions 28 to 507 of the family's 1533-position model. The record is from RNAcentral.
GAUGAACGCUGGCGGCGUGCCUAAUACAUGCAAGUCGAGCGAACAGACGAGGAGCUUGCUCCUUUGACGUUAGCGGCGGACGGGUGAGUAACACGUGGGUAACCUACCUAUAAGACUGGGAUAACUUCGGGAAACCGGAGCUAAUACCGGAUAAUAUUUCGAACCGCAUGGUUCGAUAGUGAAAGAUGGCUCUGCCAUCACUUAUAGAUGGACCUGCGCCGUAUUAGCUAGUUGGUAAGGUAACGGCUUACCAAGGCAACGAUACGUAGCCGACCUGAGAGGGUGAUCGGCCACACUGGAACUGAGACACGGUCCAGACUCCUACGGGAGGCAGCAGUAGGGAAUCUUCCGCAAUGGGCGAAAGCCUGACGGAGCAACGCCGCGUGAGUGAUGAAGGUCUUCGGAUCGUAAAACUCUGUUAUUAGGGAAGAACAAACGUGUAAGUAACUGUGCACGUCUUGACGGUACCUAAUCAGAAAGCCACGGCUAACUACGUG